Long non-coding RNA from Populus euphratica (Euphrates poplar), 161 nucleotides. RefSeq lists it as uncharacterized. NCBI's taxonomy places the organism in Eukaryota, Viridiplantae, Streptophyta, Magnoliopsida, Malpighiales, Salicaceae. The record is from RefSeq and is a predicted model, not a curated record. The transcript has 2 exons.
GUGACCAGGUGCAAGGUGGAGCUUUAGCCCAUUUUUCUGAGCUGCCCACAUCCAUGAGUUCCUAAUUCGAAAAGGAAAAGGAUAAAAGAGUCUGGAAAAGGAAAAUACGUAUCAGCAUGGUUAUGAAGUGUGGAAAUUUGACAGCCUGUUAUGAAAAUAGA